GAUGAACGCUGGCGGCGUGCUUAACACAUGCAAGUCGAACGAUGAACCUGGAGCUUGCUCUGGGGGAUUAGUGGCGAACGGGUGAGUAACACGUGAGCAACCUGCCCCUGACUCUGGGAUAAGCGCUGGAAACGGCGUCUAAUACUGGAUAUGUGACGUGACCGCAUGGUCUGCGUUUGGAAAGAUUUUUCGGUUGGGGAUGGGCUCGCGGCCUAUCAGCUUGUUGGUGAGGUAAUGGCUCACCAAGGCGUCGACGGGUAGCCGGCCUGAGAGGGUGACCGGCCACACUGGGACUGAGACACGGCCCAGACUCCUACGGGAGGCAGCAGUGGGGAAUAUUGCACAAUGGGCGGAAGCCUGAUGCAGCAACGCCGCGUGAGGGAUGACGGCCUUCGGGUUGUAAACCUCUUUUAGCAGGGAAGAAGCGAGAGUGACGGUACCUGCAGAAAAAGCGCCGGCUAACUACGUGCCAGCCGCCGCGGUAA
This 485-nucleotide ribosomal RNA is filed under the name uncultured bacterium. RNAcentral's name for it is "partial 16S ribosomal RNA". It matches the Rfam family "Bacterial small subunit ribosomal RNA", at positions 28 to 523 of the family's 1533-position model. The record is from RNAcentral.